GACGAACGCUGGCGGCGUGCUUAACACAUGCAAGUCGAACGGAAAGGCCCUGCUUUUGUGGGGUGCUCGAGUGGCGAACGGGUGAGUAACACGUGAGUAACCUGCCCUUGACUUUGGGAUAACUUCAGGAAACUGGGGCUAAUACCGGAUAGGAGCUCCUGCUGCAUGGUGGGGGUUGGAAAGUUUCGGCGGUUGGGGAUGGACUCGCGGCUUAUCAGCUUGUUGGUGGGGUAGUGGCUUACCAAGGCUUUGACGGGUAGCCGGCCUGAGAGGGUGACCGGCAACAUGGGAACCGGGUUCCGGCCCAGGCCCACACGGGGGGCAGCAGGGGGGAAUAUGGCCCAAGGGGGGAAAGCUGGAGCGACCAACCCCGGGGGGGGGAUGACGGCCUUCGGGUUGAAAACCGCUUUCGCCUGUGACGAAGGGUGGAGGACGGGAAGGGGAAAAGAAGCACCGGCGAACUACGU
RNAcentral lists this ribosomal RNA (467 nucleotides) under uncultured bacterium. RNAcentral describes it as "partial 16S ribosomal RNA". It matches the Rfam family "Bacterial small subunit ribosomal RNA", at positions 28 to 506 of the family's 1533-position model. The record is from RNAcentral.